CCAGGCCUAACACAUGCAAGUCGAGCGGAAACGACACUAACAAUCCUUCGGGUGCGUUAAUGGGCGUCGAGCGGCGGACGGGUGAGUAAUGCCUAGGAAAUUGCCUUGAUGUGGGGGAUAACCAUUGGAAACGAUGGCUAAUACCGCAUAAUGCCUACGGGCCAAAGAGGGGGACCUUCGGGCCUCUCGCGUCAAGAUAUGCCUAGGUGGGAUUAGCUAGUUGGUGAGGUAAUGGCUCACCAAGGCGACGAUCCCUAGCUGGUCUGAGAGGAUGAUCAGCCACACUGGAACUGAGACACGGUCCAGACUCCUACGGGAGGCAGCAGUGGGGAAUAUUGCACAAUGGGCGAAAGCCUGAUGCAGCCAUGCCGCGUGUAUGAAGAAGGCCUUCGGGUUGUAAAGUACUUUCAGUUGUGAGGAAGGGUGUGUAGUUAAUAGCUGCGCAUCUUGACGUUAGCAACAGAAGAAGCACCGGCUAACUCCGUGCCAGCAGCCGCGGUAAUACGGAGGGUGCGAGCGUUAAUCGGAAUUACUGGGCGUAAAGCGCAUGCAGGUGGUUCAUUAAGUCAGAUGUGAAAGCCCGGGGCUCAACCUCGGAACUGCAUUUGAAACUGGUGAACUAGAGUGCU
RNAcentral lists this ribosomal RNA (629 nucleotides) under Vibrio tasmaniensis. RNAcentral's name for it is "bacterial SSU rRNA". It matches the Rfam family "Bacterial small subunit ribosomal RNA", at positions 42 to 650 of the family's 1533-position model. The record is from RNAcentral. Lineage: Bacteria; Pseudomonadati; Pseudomonadota; Gammaproteobacteria; Vibrionales; Vibrionaceae.